This 72-nucleotide transfer RNA is filed under the name Camelus ferus (Wild Bactrian camel). It matches the Rfam family "tRNA". Rfam says of the family: Transfer RNA (tRNA) molecules are approximately 80 nucleotides in length. The record is from Rfam by way of RNAcentral. Lineage: Eukaryota; Metazoa; Chordata; Mammalia; Artiodactyla; Camelidae.
GAGGGUAUAGCUCAGUAACAGAGCACAUGCUUAGCAUGCAUGAGGUCCUGGGUUCAAUCCCCAGUACCUCCA